ACGAACGCUGGCGGCAGGCCAAACACAUGCAAGUCGAACGCUGUAGCAAUACAGAGUGGCGCACGGGUGAGUAACGCGUAGGAAUCUACCCAUUAGCCUGGGAUAACAGCGGGAAACUGCUGCUAAUACCGGAUACGCCCUUCGGGGGAAAGGUUUACUACUAAUGGAUGAGCCUGCGUUAGAUUAGCUAGUUGGUGAGGUAAUGGCUCACCAAGGCUCCGAUCUAUAGCCGGUCUGAGAGGACGAUCGGCCACACUGGGACUGAGACACGGCCCAGACUCCUACGGGAGGCAGCAGUGGGGAAUAUUGGGCAAUGGACGCAAGUCUGACCCAGCCAUGCCGCGUGUGUGAUGAAGGCCUUAGGGUUGUAAAGCACUUUUAGUAGUGAAGAUGAUGACAGUAGCUACAGAAAAAGCCCCGGCUAACUUCGUGCCAGCCGCCGCAGUAA
RNAcentral lists this ribosomal RNA (448 nucleotides) under uncultured bacterium. RNAcentral's name for it is "partial 16S ribosomal RNA". It matches the Rfam family "Bacterial small subunit ribosomal RNA", at positions 29 to 523 of the family's 1533-position model. The record is from RNAcentral.